Molecule: transfer RNA, 72 nt
Filed under: Schistocerca americana (American grasshopper)
Lineage: Eukaryota; Metazoa; Arthropoda; Insecta; Orthoptera; Acrididae
Also listed under: 1 other name
Description: tRNA-Ile
Rfam family: tRNA
About the family: Transfer RNA (tRNA) molecules are approximately 80 nucleotides in length.
Source: RNAcentral
GCCGAGGUGGUUUAGUGGCUAGCGUACCUGCCUAAUAAGCAGGGGACCCGGGUUCGAUUCCCGGCCUUGGUA